AUUGAACGCUGGCGGCAGGCCUAACACAUGCAAGUCGAGCGGAUGAAGGGAGCUUGCUCCUGGAUUCAGCGGCGGACGGGUGAGUAAUGCCUAGGAAUCUGCCUGGUAGUGGGGGAUAACGUCCGGAAACGGGCGCUAAUACCGCAUACGUCCUGAGGGAGAAAGUGGGGGAUCUUCGGACCUCACGCUAUCAGAUGAGCCUAGGUCGGAUUAGCUAGUUGGUGGGGUAAAGGCCUACCAAGGCGACGAUCCGUAACUGGUCUGAGAGGAUGAUCAGUCACACUGGAACUGAGACACGGUCCAGACUCCUACGGGAGGCAGCAGUGGGGAAUAUUGGACACUGGGCGAAAGCCUGAUCCAGCCAUGCCGCGUGUGUGAAGAAGGUCUUCGGAUUGUAAGGCACUUUAAGUUGGGAGGAAGGGCAGUAAGUUAAUACCUUGCUGUUUUGACGUUACCAACAGAAUAAGCACCGGCUAACUUCGUG
This 484-nucleotide ribosomal RNA is filed under the name uncultured bacterium. RNAcentral describes it as "partial 16S ribosomal RNA". It matches the Rfam family "Bacterial small subunit ribosomal RNA", at positions 30 to 507 of the family's 1533-position model. The record is from RNAcentral.